Molecule: long non-coding RNA, 1280 nt
Filed under: Heterocephalus glaber (naked mole-rat)
Lineage: Eukaryota; Metazoa; Chordata; Mammalia; Rodentia; Bathyergidae
Description: lncRNA (ENSHGLG00000039698.1)
Source: RNAcentral
AGGAGUUUGAGGCCAGCCUGGGCUACACAGUGCGACCCUAUUUCAAUAAAGAAGAAAAAUAUGAUUUCUUUGGUCACAUCAACUAGAGCGCUGAGUGAGAGUGCAAGACAAUAGAAUUAAAAGAAAAAGUUACCUCUCCCUAGCUUCCCUCUGCUGAUUCCUGGACCUUUUCUUUCCAUGGCUCGAGAAGGCGGUGGAGGUGACUGAGUAGAACCCGAGAUCUUUGUCCCGUUUCCUCCCGGUUCCCUGGUCUUGAAAUGGCUCCCAUUUCCAGGGUUCCCCGGCCCUGCUGCCACCGGUAAGCUGCAGCUGUGCAGCUGCUCCCUUGAGCCUCUGAGCUGAGAUCACUCUCUCACCGCGGCCUUCAGCAGACAGCGCCCACCCUGGGCUCCGGGCAGAGCGAUCCUGGCAGCAGGGACAGCUGCGCGGCCGUCCACGGGGACCCAGGCUCCCUGGCUUCUGUCCUUCCCUCCUCCGAUGGGGUGAGUCCACGUUGGAUUUAAAAGCCCGAGGCUGGCCAGAAGCCCAGGAGCUAAGCGGACCCUAAAACUGGUACAGACGAGGAGCUCUGGCUGGUAUCAUAAAGAAGAUCGUCUUAAACAUAGCUGUGGAAAGUAUGAGCACUUUGGGUAGGAGUGUCACCAUAUGAGCACAUCUACACCCGCAUUUAUGAAAAGUAGGUCUUUGCUGGGCGUGGUGGUGCACACCUUGCAUCCCAGCAGUCAGAAGGCUGAGGCAGGAGGAUCACUGUGAGUCUGAGGCCAGCCUGCACUACGUAGAGAGACCCUGUCUCAAAAAACCAAGACAAAACACACACACACACACACACACAAACACAGGCACACACGCACGCACACACGCCAAAACAAGUAGACAUCUCAUGGUCCCCCGUACUCCUCUAUCCCGGAAGGGCUAAGUCCCACAGACCUUGUAACAUCUGAACGGCGCUUGCUAGCUCACACACAUUUUUGAGGACACAUAACUUUUUUCCUUCCAAUCAGGCACCGGAAGGUCUUGAGCAUUUUAAAGUCCCAGACAGCCUCCCCUUCACGGGAGCCAAAUAAAAAGCAUGUGACCCGGAUGGAGCCAGAGGCUGGCUCCAGAACAUAAAGGCACAGACGGAGUCCAGGGCUGAGUCACUGCUGGCAGCCCCCGUGUACUAAUCCAGGAGUCCCUGGUGCUGCGAUCCCAGAGAUCCCCAGUGUGCUUCUUCCUGGGCCUGCUUUACUCGGGAAUUUUUUCCGUUCUUUCUAUUUUGCAUUAUCACGCACCAUCCCAGC